RNAcentral lists this ribosomal RNA (415 nucleotides) under uncultured bacterium. RNAcentral describes it as "bacterial SSU rRNA". It matches the Rfam family "Bacterial small subunit ribosomal RNA", at positions 30 to 453 of the family's 1533-position model. The record is from RNAcentral.
AUUGAACGCUGGCGGCAUGCCUUACACAUGCAAGUCGAACGGUAACAGGUUAAGCUGACGAGUGGCGAACGGGUGAGUAAUGUAUCGGAACGUGCCCAGUCGUGGGGGAUAACUGCUCGAAAGAGCAGCUAAUACCGCAUACGACCUGAGGGUGAAAGCGGGGGAUCGCAAGACCUCGCGCGAUUGGAGCGGCCGAUAUCAGAUUAGGUAGUUGGUGGGGUAAAGGCCUACCAAGCCUACGAUCUGUAGCUGGUCUGAGAGGACGACCAGCCACACUGGGACUGAGACACGGCCCAGACUCCUACGGGAGGCAGCAGUGGGGAAUUUUGGACAAUGGGGGCAACCCUGAUCCAGCAAUGCCGCGUGAGUGAAGAAGGCCUCGGGUUGUAAGACUCUUUGUCUAGGGAAGAAACGG